RNAcentral lists this transfer RNA (23 nucleotides) under Petaurus australis (yellow-bellied glider). RNAcentral describes it as "partial tRNA-Ser". Lineage: Eukaryota; Metazoa; Chordata; Mammalia; Diprotodontia; Petauridae. The record is from RNAcentral.
CAAGAAAGAACCAAGAACUGCUA